UACGUAGGGGGCAAGCGUUGUCCGGAUCUAUUGGGCGGAAAGAGCGUGUAGGCGGCCAGACAAGUCUGAUGUGAAAACUCGAGGCUCAACCUCGAGCUGUCGGUGGAAACUGUCUGGCUAGAGUCCGGAAGAGGAGAGUGGAAUUCCUGGUGUAGCGGUGAAAUGCGCAGAUAUCAGGAAGAACACCUAUGGCGAAGGCAGCUCUCUGGGACGGUACUGACGCUGAGACGCGAAAGCGUGGGGAGCGAACAGG
Molecule: ribosomal RNA, 253 nt
Filed under: uncultured bacterium
Lineage: Bacteria
Description: partial 16S ribosomal RNA
Rfam family: Bacterial small subunit ribosomal RNA
Source: RNAcentral